Molecule: ribosomal RNA, 433 nt
Filed under: uncultured bacterium
Lineage: Bacteria
Description: partial 16S ribosomal RNA
Rfam family: Bacterial small subunit ribosomal RNA
Source: RNAcentral
AGCGAACGCUGGCGGCAGGCCUAACACAUGCAAGUCGAACGAACCUUUCGGGGUUAGUGGCGGACGGGUGAGUAACACGUGGGAACGUGCCUUUAGGUUCGGAAUAACUCAGGGAAACUUGUGCUAAUACCGAAUGUGCCCUUCGGGGGAAAGAUUAAUCGCCUUUAGAGCGGCCCGCGUCUGAUUAGCUAGUUGGUUGAGGUAAUGGCUCACCAAGGCGACGAUCAGUAGCUGGUCUGAGAGGAUGAUCAGCCACAUUGGGACUGAGACACGGCCCAAACUCCUACGGGAGGUAGCAGUGGGGAAUCUUGCGCAAUGGGCGAAAGCCUGACGCAGCCAUGCCGCGUGAAUGAUGAAGGUCUUAGGAUGUAAAAUUCUUUCACCGGGGACGAUAAUGACGGUACCCGGAGAAGAAGCCCCGGCUAACUUCGUG